UUUUAAUGACAUGCAUGUUACUCAUUGUGUUCGUCCAAACCGAAAACACACAGUCCGAGGGUAUAGUUUUCAGAUAUAUUCCUUACGCAAAUCAUUUGUUCGUCGUUAGAAAGGAUCGGCAGGGGUGUUUCUUUUACAACACCACUGAACAAGAGAGGAAACAAAUACAUGAUCCGAUAGACGUUUAUGCUUUUGAGUUAAAAGUUUUAACAAUGGUACAUAACUACACUUCAUACUUUAGAGCGGCUUCUAAGAAUCUCUACCAUACUGAUUCGGCUAUCAAAGUAUACAUAAACUUGUGUAACAAGGGAGCCUAUCCUGUAUGGCUAUAUAAAGGUCAUACAUAGCAACGCCAUUUUCUACAGAGUAAUUUUUAACAUAAACUUCCGAAGUCAAUUGAUAAGUGUUUAUAAAAUAAAGACUGUAUAUUCUUA
Mytilus californianus (California mussel) is the source of this 434-nucleotide long non-coding RNA. RefSeq lists it as uncharacterized. NCBI's taxonomy places the organism in Eukaryota, Metazoa, Mollusca, Bivalvia, Mytilida, Mytilidae. The transcript is spliced from 3 exons. The record is from RefSeq and is a predicted model, not a curated record.